CCUUAGAUUACGCACACGCUCUUUGGCGGAACUCUAUGCUAAUGAAGCCGGCUGCAGGGCUGAUGGUGGUGCUGUCCUCCGCUCCCGCCUCUUCACCUCCCCACAUGCAGGGUGACAUCCUUCAGUCACUCCUGCAGCCUGAACAUGGCCGGAUCGCAGCUCCUCUCGGUCUUUACCCUCUUUGUCUUCUUCCCUGUCGUGCGUGUUUUUGGAGAGGUUGUAAACUUGGCGGACUCUGUGCAGUUAACGGUGAAUGGGGUCUGUGCGGGCGGUGACAUGCAGCUGGUCCGGGUCCGGAGGACAGACACCAGCUCUCGGUCAGUCGCAAACCGUGUCGGCGGUGUAUGGAAGCCCGCUGAUGACUACAAGGACCGGAUUCAUCACGUUUCAGCCUCCAGCGUCAACCUGACCAGAGUGAACUUCAACGAUGAUGCGUUUUAUGAGUUCACUUGUAAAAGUGAUCUUAUGAAAACCAUCCAGCUGACUGUGAUCUUCCCCUAUGAUGUGAGAGUGUCUGAGGGGGAGACAGCCAGGAUCCCCUGCUACUCCUCCACGGAGGGGCUGCAGGGGGGGAGCGCACGGUGGGAGAGGGACGGGGAGCUGGUUCUGGGUCAGAACCGCUCCUCCGGACAGCCCGAGGGGAGACUGUCGGUGUCACCUGACUGGAUCCAGACUGGAGACUUGUCCCUGACUGUGAAGGACGCUCAGCUGGAGGACGGAGGGAACUACGUUUGUUACACCGUGGAUGGAAACGGAGAGAAAACCAGAGGAAGAAGUCCUGCUGCUGUGAAGGUGACCGUCCAGAGGAGCCGCCCUGCUCCCACUGGUACCCUGCAGCCGACACCGGGACCGGACGAGGAGCAGAUCGGAACUGGACUCAUCGUCAGUAUAAUCUUCAAUGUGCUGCAGCUGCUCUUAGCUGUAGUUCUCCUCUGCGUGUUGUGUUUGGUUCGUGUUUGUAAGGCUCACAGAGCUGCAGGUGUCAGACCCCCCGCAGAUACAGAGAUGGAGCCUCUGGAUGGAGAUCCUGAUCACGUUCCUAAUGGAGGGGCCCACAGAGCGGAGCCAUGACACCCAGAAAUCAGACCCACAUGUUAAUUAAUUGAAUUAUUACAACCUGAUUAAGAUCAACACUGGGAUGGUUGAUGUCACUCAGCUUCACACUCCUCAACAACACAGUUGUAUAUAUCGUAUCUGAGUGUCACAUCUUCUGCUUCUUUAACAAUAAAAGUGGUUAGAUUUUAAAAAUGUGACCAUUGUUUCUUUAUGUUCGUGUGU
RNAcentral lists this long non-coding RNA (1278 nucleotides) under Sparus aurata (gilthead seabream). RNAcentral's name for it is "lncRNA (ENSSAUG00010010923.1)". The record is from RNAcentral. Lineage: Eukaryota; Metazoa; Chordata; Actinopteri; Spariformes; Sparidae.